Molecule: ribosomal RNA, 369 nt
Filed under: uncultured bacterium
Lineage: Bacteria
Description: bacterial SSU rRNA
Rfam family: Bacterial small subunit ribosomal RNA
Source: RNAcentral
AACGAACGCUGGCGGCAUGCCUAACACAUGCAAGUCGAACGAGACCUUCGGGUCUAGUGGCGCACGGGUGCGUAACGCGUGGGGAUCUGCCCUUUGCUUCGGAAUAACAGUUAGAAAUGACUGCUAAUACCGGAUGAUGACUUCGGUCCAAAGAUUUAUCGGCAAAGGAUGAACCCGCGUAGGAUUAGCUAGUUGGUGGGGUAAAGGCCUACCAAGGCGACGAUCCUUAGCUGGUCUGAGAGGAUGAUCAGCCACACUGGGACUGAGACACGGCCCAGACUCCUACGGGAGGCAGCAGUGGGGAAUAUUGGACAAUGGGCGAAAGCCUGAUCCAGCAAUGCCGCGUGAGUGAUGAAGGCCUUAGGUUGU